Molecule: unclassified non-coding RNA, 406 nt
Filed under: Hevea brasiliensis (rubber tree)
Lineage: Eukaryota; Viridiplantae; Streptophyta; Magnoliopsida; Malpighiales; Euphorbiaceae
Source: RNAcentral
GGCUGGGGUGGGCCGGCGGGGUGGUGUUGAUAUGGCCAUAACCUUUAUGAAAUAUUAGUUCUUGAAAUAUUGUAGUUUUGUUUCAUUUUGAUUGUUAAUCUACAGAUUUUGUGUUUUUCUCUCAAAUCAUUCAACUUGGGGUGUAACAAAUCGCAACAAAAGAAGACAGAAAGUAAAUUGAUGUUUCCUGUUGUUUGUGGUUUCCAAUACUUUAAUUGAACUAGACCAUAUAGCAAUUCUAGGCUCAAAUUAAAUAAGUUUUUGUUUUGAUCAAGUCUCAUAUAAUGGAAUUCAUAACCUCCAUAACCAUUUAAUUAAGCGCCAAAAAUUCUUGGUUACUUCUUGGUCUAAAUAAUGUUGUCGUUGAUUCACCUAUGUUGUGUAGGCACGGAGGAAAGCAAAUGAA